GGGAUUACCCAUGCAAGUCGAGCGGAGAGAGGUAGCUUGCUACUGAUCUUAGCGGCGGACGGGUGAGUAAUGCUUAGGAAUCUGCCUAUUAGUGGGGGACAACAUUUCGAAAGGAAUGCUAAUACCGCAUACGUCCUACGGGAGAAAGCAGGGGAUCUUCGGACCUUGCGCUAAUAGAUGAGCCUAAGUCGGAUUAGCUAGUUGGUGGGGUAAAGGCCUACCAAGGCGACGAUCUGUAGCGGGUCUGAGAGGAUGAUCCGCCACACUGGGACUGAGACACGGCCCAGACUCCUACGGGAGGCAGCAGUGGGGAAUAUUGGACAAUGGGCGCAAGCCUGAUCCAGCCAUGCCGCGUGUGUGAAGAAGGCCUUAUGGUUGUAAAGCACUUUAAGCGAGGAGGAGGCUACUUUAGUUAAUACCUAGAGAUAGUGGACGUUACUCGCAGAAUAAGCACCGGCUAACUCUGUGCCAGCAGCCGCGGUAAUACAGAGGGUGCAAGCGUUAAUCGGAUUUACUGGGCGUAAAGCGCGCGUAGGCGGCUAAUUAAGUCAAAUGUGAAAUCCCCGAGCUUAACUUGGGAAUUGCAUUCGAUACUGGUUAGCUAGAGUGUGGGAGAGGAUGGUAGAAUUCCAGGUGUAGCGGUGAAAUGCGUAGAGAUCUGGAGGAAUACCGAUGGCGAAGGCAGCCAUCUGGCCUAACACUGACGCUGAGGUGCGAAAGCAUGGGGAGCAAACAGGAUUAGAUACCCUGGGUAGUCCAUAA
This 762-nucleotide ribosomal RNA is filed under the name Acinetobacter calcoaceticus. Its description in RNAcentral is "bacterial SSU rRNA". It matches the Rfam family "Bacterial small subunit ribosomal RNA", at positions 45 to 800 of the family's 1533-position model. The record is from RNAcentral. Lineage: Bacteria; Pseudomonadati; Pseudomonadota; Gammaproteobacteria; Moraxellales; Moraxellaceae.